Molecule: long non-coding RNA, 438 nt
Organism: Meriones unguiculatus (Mongolian gerbil)
Lineage: Eukaryota; Metazoa; Chordata; Mammalia; Rodentia; Muridae
Exons: 3
Source: RefSeq, a predicted model, not a curated record
GCCUAGAAGCAGCAGGGCCCACUGGCCUGAUACAUUUUAAACUUUUUAGCUCAGUACCCCGAAAACCUAGUUUUUACUUCUUUGGUCUCUCAAUAAAAGAGGGUGGCUGGGCUCUGCUGCCCCUGCUUACCCUGCACGCCUAUGAUGAAAACUUCAAGACGCUGGUGUCAAUAAGUCAGUCAACCUGAGUAAUCCAGAACACUGACAGCCAUCAAAGCAGAGAGGAUGAGCGGGCCCCCAGCUCCAGCACUGAGGUAUGCGGUGAGGCGGUCAGCGACGAGAUGUCCCAUUGCUGGUCCAUCUGGAAUCACGUUGGAGGUGGUAGGCCUGGUGGCCUUUGCUUGGCAGCUUCUGUAGAAGGUCGAGUGGAGAUCUGACAGGGAUGUCUGAAAGCAGGUGGUGAGGCACUUCUCGUCUGCAUGGGUGGGAGUGGCAGGG